This 314-nucleotide ribosomal RNA is filed under the name uncultured bacterium. RNAcentral's name for it is "bacterial SSU rRNA". It matches the Rfam family "Bacterial small subunit ribosomal RNA", at positions 29 to 334 of the family's 1533-position model. The record is from RNAcentral.
AACGAACGCUGGCGGCGUGCUUAAUACAUGCAAGUCGAACGAGAAAGUUCCUUCGGGAACGAGUAAAGUGGCAAACGGGUGAGUAAUACAUAGAUAAUCUACCUCCGAGCGGGGGAUAACAUCUCGAAAGGGGUGCUAAUACCGCAUAAGACUACAGCAACUAUGGUUGCAGUGGUAAAAGGUGGCUUCGGCUAUCACUGGGAGAUGAGUCUAUGUACCAUUAGCUUGUUGGUGGGGUAAAGGCCUACCAAGGCUACGAUGGUUAGCUGAUCUGAGAGGAUGAUCAGCCACACUGGAACUGAGACACGGUCCAG